Molecule: small RNA, 482 nt
Filed under: Alternaria alternata
Lineage: Eukaryota; Fungi; Ascomycota; Dothideomycetes; Pleosporales; Pleosporaceae
Description: eukaryotic LSU rRNA
Rfam family: 5.8S ribosomal RNA (bases 148-301)
Source: RNAcentral
CUGGAACCUCUCGGGGUUACAGCCUUGCUGAAUUAUUCACCCUUGUCUUUUGCGUACUUCUUGUUUCCUUGGUGGGUUCGCCCACCACUAGGACAAACAUAAACCUUUUGUAAUUGCAAUCAGCGUCAGUAACAAAUUAAUAAUUACAACUUUCAACAACGGAUCUCUUGGUUCUGGCAUCGAUGAAGAACGCAGCGAAAUGCGAUAAGUAGUGUGAAUUGCAGAAUUCAGUGAAUCAUCGAAUCUUUGAACGCACAUUGCGCCCUUUGGUAUUCCAAAGGGCAUGCCUGUUCGAGCGUCAUUUGUACCCUCAAGCUUUGCUUGGUGUUGGGCGUCUUGUCUCUAGCUUUGCUGGAGACUCGCCUUAAAGUAAUUGGCAGCCGGCCUACUGGUUUCGGAGCGCAGCACAAGUCGCACUCUCUAUCAGCAAAGGUCUAGCAUCCAUUAAGCCUUUUUUUCAACUUUUGACCUCGGAUCAGGUA